GCAGUGGUGGCUUAAUGGUAGAGCCCUUGCCUCCCAUGCGGGAGACCUAGGUUUAAUUCUCAGCCAACGCA
Molecule: transfer RNA, 71 nt
Filed under: Loxodonta africana (African savanna elephant)
Lineage: Eukaryota; Metazoa; Chordata; Mammalia; Proboscidea; Elephantidae
Rfam family: tRNA
About the family: Transfer RNA (tRNA) molecules are approximately 80 nucleotides in length. Their secondary structure includes four short double-helical elements and three loops (D, anti-codon, and T loops).
Source: Rfam by way of RNAcentral